Molecule: long non-coding RNA, 1053 nt
Organism: Carassius gibelio (silver crucian carp)
Lineage: Eukaryota; Metazoa; Chordata; Actinopteri; Cypriniformes; Cyprinidae
Exons: 3
Source: RefSeq, a predicted model, not a curated record
AUUUUGCCCUAAUUUUUAAUAACUGUUGGGAGUGGUGAAAUUUUUAAUAACUCAUCCGUUUAAAUUAUAUUAAGACUUAAAGUUCUGCAUAAUUAAGGGCGUCGCCACUUGAGUGACAGGUGGGUUGCCGCUGCUGACACUGCUGUCGAGCUAGGUGGGCGUGGCUUCAGCAACUAGCUCCCGCCUUUUUGCCCAUUUUUGAUUGUUUCUGGAGUGAUGCACAGUGACACGCUGCCAAGAAGGCAACGACUCACUCUGCACACUUUGAGCUUCACAAAAGCUCUUCAGAAGUCUACAGGUGACAUCACAGACACAUUACGUCGGACGGACAUGUUUUUAUGCAGUCUAUGUUCAAAACUAGCCCAAAACAACACCAGAACGUGAUUGUUCCCUCGUAAUACCAUUUCUCCCCUGCCCCGAGGAGGUCUUUGCACAUCUAUGAAGAAACACGCUAAUCCCAUGAAGUGUUAAUCUCUUCCUUAUUUCGAUAGGUCCAUUCAUGGAACAGAAGAGGUUGAAAGAAGGAAUCAUUAAGUUAAAUAAUAAUAUAAAAUGACUCAACAAAGAGACUGAAUCUGAUUAAUAAAAUCAAUGUUGAUAGGCACAUCCACUGGAAGAGGCCGUUCAAGCUGGCAGGUGGGCCUCUUUCUCCUCCCAGGACCAGAUCUUCAAAAACUUCCAUCUUUGUCUGACCGGCAUGCCCUGACAAAUAAUGGAUUAGGAGUUCCAGCGAAGGAGAUCGCUGAUUGUCAACUGUCUACAAUUGAUUUAAACUGGAGCCUAUCAGAUUUGAAUACUUUCGUUUGUCAGAGCUUCCCUAUGAUAAGUUUGAACCUGGUGGGUUUUGAGUUGGCAAAAGUAGACAAGGGGAAAGAAAUCAAGAAGGUACAUGCAAGCUCUGUGAGAGAUCUGAAGAAGAUUGUGGGAAAAAGCAGACUUUAUGUUGUCCCUCGUGCUGAAGUGGGCCAGCCAAUCAACUUGCAUCUGAGUCAACCAAUCAUAGGACCUAACCCUGAAACAACAGAGAUAAUUUAAAAUGUAGUUGUUUUCAGU